GUUAUCGUGUUGAGAGGGAAAAGUAAGGAAUAUAAUUGCUUUUUAGAGAGAACCAUCAUCGGCUGAAAGUGGUUUAAGCAAUGAUUUCUGAACAUGCACCCUUGAGCCUUUCUCUGAAUCACUCCGGUUUAGUAGGGGAAAGCGAGUGGCGUCGUUAUAUGCCAUAGAGAUAGUAUGAGGGAUGCUCCCUUUUACUAAAACAGAGUGGAACCGCGCUAGGCGCCUCUGUG
RNAcentral lists this non-coding RNA (230 nucleotides) under Alkalihalophilus pseudofirmus. RNAcentral's name for it is "Bacillus pseudofirmus T-box sequence". It matches the Rfam family "T-box leader". From Rfam's summary of the family: Uncharged tRNA acts as the effector for transcription antitermination of genes in the T-box leader family. T-boxes are found upstream of many aminoacyl-tRNA synthetase genes and some amino acid biosynthetic genes usually in Gram-positive bacteria. The anticodon of a specific tRNA base pairs to a specifier sequence within the T-box motif, and the NCCA acceptor tail of the tRNA base pairs to a conserved bulge in the T-box antiterminator hairpin. The record is from RNAcentral. Lineage: Bacteria; Bacillati; Bacillota; Bacilli; Caryophanales; Bacillaceae.